CAGUAGCCGCGGGAAUACGUAGGUGGCAAGCGUUGUCCGGAUUUAUUGGGCGUAAAGCGAGCGCAGGCGGUUCCUUAAGUCUGAUGUGAAAGCCCACGGCUCAACCGUGGAAGGUCAUUGGAAACUGGGGAACUUGAGUGCAGAAGAGGAGAGUGGAAUUCCAUGUGUAGCGGUGAAAUGCGUAGAUAUAUGGAGGAACACCAGUGGCGAAGGCGACUCUCUGGUCUGUAACUGACGCUGAGGCUCGAAAGCGUGGGGAGCAAACAGGAUUAGAUACCCCAGUAGUCCCUGUCUCUUAUAC
Molecule: ribosomal RNA, 301 nt
Filed under: uncultured bacterium
Lineage: Bacteria
Description: partial 16S ribosomal RNA
Rfam family: Bacterial small subunit ribosomal RNA
Source: RNAcentral